UGAGGAAUAUUGGUUAAUGGACGCAAGUCUGAACCAGCCAAGUAGCGUGCAGGAUGACGGCCCUAUGGGUUGUAAACUGCUUUUAUAUGGGGAUAAAGUGGGGAACGUGUUCCCUUUUGCAGGUACCAUAUGAAUAAGGACCGGCUAAUUCCGUGCCAGCAGCCGCGGUACUACGGAAGGUUCGGGCGUUAUCCGGAGUUAUUGGGUUUAAAGGGAGCGUAGGCCGUUUGGUAAGCGUGUUGUGAAAUGUAGGAGCUCAACUUCUAGAUUGCAGCGCGAACUGUCAGACUUGAGUGCGCACAACGAAGGCGGAAUUCAUGGUGUAGCGGUGAAGUGCUUAGAAAUCAUGAAGAACUCCGAUUGCGAAGGCAGCUUACGGGGGCGCAACUGACGCUGAAGCUGGAAGGUGGGGGUAUCGAACAGG
RNAcentral lists this ribosomal RNA (424 nucleotides) under Verrucomicrobiota bacterium. RNAcentral's name for it is "Verrucomicrobia bacterium partial 16S ribosomal RNA". It matches the Rfam family "Bacterial small subunit ribosomal RNA", at positions 355 to 776 of the family's 1533-position model. The record is from RNAcentral. Lineage: Bacteria; Pseudomonadati; Verrucomicrobiota.